GGGAAACGCUUUUGGAACAAGUUGGAUUGCUCCGAAUUUCAGUGCCUAUCGGGCAGCCAGUGAACAUUUGUCCAUCUUUAAGGCAUUAAACUGAGAAGAACCACUGAGGAAAGCAUGCCACAGUCUUUCCCAAAAUCCCUGUGUCUUAAGGAACAACCAAGAAGUUAACUGGUCAGGGAAAAGAUUUCUUUUGGAACACAGAAGCCAUCGCUGUGUGCGGAAAUCCAUGACCUGGCCAUGACUUCUACAACCCGGAGGACUUGCCUGGCAUUACCGAAAAGCACAGGGGAAAGAUUCUGUGGCAGAGAAUGAUGGGAGUUGUGAUCCAUACCUCCGUGUGCAUAAUGGUUGUACCUGCUCCAGGAAGGCGCUGGAUCCUCCCAACUCCAUGGGAAGAGAUUAGGACACAAACAACAGACAGAAGGUGACCACAGGAGGACACAGUGAGAAGCUGGCCAUCUGCAAGCCAAGGAGAGAGACCUCAGGAGAAACCAAACCUGCCAGCACCUUAAUCUUAGACUUCUAGCCCUCAGAACGGUGAGGAAAUAAAUCUCUGUUGUUCAUGCCA
Molecule: long non-coding RNA, 568 nt
Filed under: Homo sapiens (human)
Lineage: Eukaryota; Metazoa; Chordata; Mammalia; Primates; Hominidae
Description: HSALNT0360214
Source: RNAcentral